RNAcentral lists this ribosomal RNA (825 nucleotides) under uncultured bacterium. RNAcentral's name for it is "bacterial SSU rRNA". It matches the Rfam family "Bacterial small subunit ribosomal RNA", at positions 95 to 912 of the family's 1533-position model. The record is from RNAcentral.
GCGGCGGACUGGUGAGUAACGCGUGGGUGACCUACCUUGAGGAUGGGGAUAGCUGUUAGAAAUAGCAGGUAAUACCGAAUACGUUCACAAUAUUAUGAUUAUGUGAAGAAAGGAGCUACGGCUCCGCCUUGAGAUGGGCCCGCGUCCCAUUAGCUAGUUGGUGAGGUAAAGGCCCACCAAGGCGAAGAUGGGUAGCCGGCCUGAGAGGGUGAACGGCCACACUGGGACUGAGAUACGGCCCAGACUCCUACGGGAGGCAGCAGCUAAGAAUAUUCCACAAUGGACGAAAGUCUGAUGGAGCGACGCCGCGUGGAUGACGAAGGCCGAAAGGUUGUAAAAUCCUUUUGCGGAUGAAGAAUAAGCGGUGGAGGGAAUGCCAUCGUGAUGACGUUAGUCCGCGAAUAAGCCCCGGCUAAUUACGUGCCAGCAGCCGCGGUAACACGUAAGGGGCAAGCGUUGUUCGGAAUUAUUGGGCGUAAAGGGCGCGUAGGCGGCCGCGUAAGUCUGAUGUGAAAACCCCGGGCUCAACCCGGGAACUGCAUUGGAAACUGUGCGGCUUGAGUCACGGAGGGGAAAUCGGAAUUCCUGGUGUAGGGGUGAAAUCUGUAGAUAUCAGGAAGAACACCGGUGGCGAAGGCGGAUUUCCAGCCGAUGACUGACGCUGAGGCGCGAAAGUGCGGGGAGCAAACAGGAUUAGAUACCCUGGUAGUCCGCACUAUAAACGAUGCACACUAGGUGUCGGGACGAGCGUCUCGGCGCCGGAGCGAACGCGAUAAGUGUGCCGCCUGGGGAGUAUGCCCGCAAGGGUGAAACUCAAAGGAAUUG